UCUGUAGACCAGUGUUCUCCACUCAUCUUCACUGUAGACCAGGUGAGUCUAUGGGCCCCAGGUGAGUCUGUAGACCAGUGUUCUCCACUCAUCUUCACUGUAGACCAGGUGAGUCUAUGGGCCCCAGGUGAGUCUGUAGACCAGUGUUCUCCACUCAUCUUCACUGUAGACCAGGUGAGUCUAUGGGCCCCAGGUGAGUCUGUAGACCAGUGUUCUCCACUAAUCUUCACUGUAGACCAGGUGAGUCUAUGGGCCCCAGGUGAGUCUGUAGACCAUUGUUCUCCACUCAUCUUCACUGUAGAUCAGGUGAGUCUAUGGGCCCCAGGUGAGUCUGUAGACCAGUGUUCUCCACUCAUCUUCACUGUAGACCAGGUGAGUCUAUGGGCCCCAGGUGAGUCUGUAGACGAGUGCUCUUCACUCAUUCACUGUAGACCAGAUGAGUCUAUGGGCCCCAGCUGAGUCUGUAGACUAGUGUUCUCCACUCAUCUUCACUGUAGACCAGGUGAGUCUAUGGGCCCCAGGUGAGUCUGUAGACCAGUGUUCUCCACUCAUCUUCACUGUAGACCAGGUGAGUCUAUGGGCCCCAGGUGAGU
Petromyzon marinus (sea lamprey) is the source of this 593-nucleotide non-coding RNA. The record is from RefSeq and is a predicted model, not a curated record. Lineage: Eukaryota; Metazoa; Chordata; Hyperoartia; Petromyzontiformes; Petromyzontidae.